RNAcentral lists this long non-coding RNA (2038 nucleotides) under Ficedula albicollis (Collared flycatcher). RNAcentral's name for it is "lncRNA (ENSFALG00000028167.1)". The record is from RNAcentral. Lineage: Eukaryota; Metazoa; Chordata; Aves; Passeriformes; Muscicapidae.
UGUGGGAUAGAGAAGCUCAUUACAGAGCAUUAAAGAGAAAAAAAUUGGGUUUUUCUAAGUUCUUGGGAAAACCUCAGUUAACUUCGAGGUGCUUCUCAUUUUAGGGUUUCUUUAGAGUUUGCUCUGCACCCUCACUCUCCUUAUAAACACAGAAAGAACUUCCAGGAUCCUGGGGCAGCCGGGGAUGGUAUCCACCCCCUGCAGGUGCUUCCAGGUUUGGGGGAAACUGAGGCAGAGCAUCCCCAACCCUGCACUGGGAGCACGUCCAUGCCCCACACACACCUCAGAGAACCUACUGGAGCCCCCAUAUCCCCAAGGAAAAUCAGGAAGAGCCCCUUGAAGGGCUUUUCCCCAGAAAAAAACACCAGAGAGGAGGGGAAAUCCAUCCCUGUGGUGGGACUGGGAUGAGGUUCCCGCCAUGGUGGAUAACUCAAAGUGACCUGACUUUUUUUGGAGGAAAAAGGGAGGUUUGGCCAUUUUUUUCCCCAGCCUCCCUGAGUUUUGCAGCAUGUCAGGGACUAACACUGCCACCUACCGAGCCAGGCCUCGUCGUUAAACCUCACAUUUCUGUUUUCUCCACCCAAAAGAGCUUCCCAUGUUUUUAGGAACACACGAGGCCUCUUAAACCAGCCCUGCUCUCUGCAGUGAAUCCAGCCUCUGACUGGGUCCCUUUGGGGUCCCUGUGUGCUGCAGAUCCGGAACCUCAACAGUGGCUUCUCCCAGCUGCGGGCCCUGGUGCCGCUGGUGCCGCGGGACCGCCGGCCCAGCAAGGCAGAGACGCUGCGGGCAGCGGCAGAGUACAUCCGGCUGCUGCGGGGCGUGCUGCGGGGCUGCCGGGUGAGACCCCAAACCCGCCCCUAAAACUGACCCCAGAACACCCUGACACACCCACUGCUGCGGGGCUGCCGGGUGAGACCCCAAACCCGCCCCUAAAACUGACCCCAGAACACCCUGACACACCCACUGCUGCGGGGCUGCCGGGUGAGACCCCAAACCCGCCCCUAAAACUGACCCCAGAACACCCUGACACACCCACUGCUGCGGGGCUGCCGGGUGAGACCCCAAACCCGCCCCUAAAACUGACCCCAGAACACCCUGACACACCCACUGCUGCGGGGCUGCCGGGUGAGACCCCAAACCCGCCCCUAAAACUGACCCCAGAACACCCUGACACACCCACUGCUGCGGGGCUGCCGGGUGAGACCCCAAACCCGCCCCUAAAACUGACCCCAGAACACCCUGACACACCCACUGCUGCGGGGCUGCCGGGUGAGACCCCAAACCCGCCCCUAAAACUGACCCCAGAACACCCUGACACACCCACUGCUGCGGGGCUGCCGGGUGAGACCCCAAACCCGCCCCUAAAACUGACCCCAGAACACCCUGACACACCCACUGCUGCGGGGCUGCCGGGUGAGACCCCAAACCCGCCCCUAAAACUGACCCCAGAACACCCUGACACACCCACUGCUGCGGGGCUGCCGGGUGAGACCCCAAACCCGCCCCUAAAACUGACCCCAGAACACCCUGACACACCCACUGCUGCGGGGCUGCCGGGUGAGACCCCAAACCCGCCCCUAAAACUGACCCCAGAACACCCUGACACACCCACUGCUGCGGGGCUGCCGGGUGAGACCCCAAACCCGCCCCUAAAACUGACCCCAGAACACCCUGACACACCCACUGCUGCGGGGCUGCCGGGUGAGACCCCAAACCUGACCCUACAACUGACCCCAGAACACCCUGACACACCCACUGCUGCGGGGCUGCCGGGUGAGACCCCAAACCUGACCCUAAAACUGACCCCAGAACACCCUGACACACCCACUGCUGCGGGGCUGCCGGGUGAGACCCCAAACCCGCCCCUAAAACUGACCCCAGAACACCCUGACACACCCACUGCUGCGGGGCUGCCGGGUGAGACCCCAAACCUGACCCUAAAACUGACCCCAGAACACCCCCAUAAUGUGGGUUUUGGGAGGCUGAUAGGGAUUUUGUUGCUGUUUUUCAUUUUGGAAUCAAUAAUUUAAUUUAUUUU